This 362-nucleotide small nuclear RNA is filed under the name Sorex araneus (European shrew). RNAcentral describes it as "7SK RNA (ENSSARG00000017993.1)". The stretch from base 1 to 310 matches the Rfam family "7SK RNA". From Rfam's summary of the family: 7SK was discovered as an abundant small nuclear RNA in the mid-70s but a possible function has only recently been suggested. Two independent studies have found that 7SK RNA binds the CDK9/cyclin T complex (known as elongation factor P-TEFb). Lineage: Eukaryota; Metazoa; Chordata; Mammalia; Eulipotyphla; Soricidae. The record is from RNAcentral.
GGAUGCGAGGGCAAUUUGGCUGAGACAUCUGUCACCCCAUUGAUCGACAGGGUUUAUUCAGCUGAUCUGGCUGGCUAGGGCGGGUGUCCCCUUCCUCCCUCACCACUUCAUGUGCAUCCUUCCCGAAGCUGUGAGCUUGGUAGAAGAGAACGACUACCGGGAAUAGAGAUGGACCAGUCUUUGGUCCAGGGUAUACGAGUAGCUGCUCUCCCCUGGUUAGAACCUCCAAAGAAGCUCUCCGACAAAUAUAAAUAAUAAUUAUUUAUCAAAACACCCUUAGAGUAGCCCUACACUAUUAAAGUGAGACUGUAAUGUUCCCUGCACAGUUGAGUCUAAAACAGAUUGCAGGGCUGGAGCGAUAG